Molecule: ribosomal RNA, 253 nt
Filed under: uncultured bacterium
Lineage: Bacteria
Description: partial 16S ribosomal RNA
Rfam family: Bacterial small subunit ribosomal RNA
Source: RNAcentral
UACGGGGGGGGCAAGCGUUGUUCGGAAUUACUGGGCGUAAAGGGCUCGUAGGCGGCCAACUAAGUCGGACGUGAAAUCCCCAGGCUCAACCUGGGAACUGCGUCCGAUACUGGAUGGCUUGAAUCCGGGAGAGGGAUGCAGAAUUCCAGGUGUAGCGGUGAAAUGCGCAGAUAUCGGGAGGAACACCAGCGGCGAAGGCGGCACUCUGGGCUGGAACUGACGCUGAGGAGCGAAAGCGUGGGUAGCAAACAGG